CCAAGAUGAGUGAUGGCUC
Molecule: microRNA, 19 nt
Filed under: Gallus gallus (chicken)
Lineage: Eukaryota; Metazoa; Chordata; Aves; Galliformes; Phasianidae
Description: microRNA Ros-gga
Source: RNAcentral